This 265-nucleotide ribosomal RNA is filed under the name uncultured bacterium. Its description in RNAcentral is "partial 16S ribosomal RNA". It matches the Rfam family "Bacterial small subunit ribosomal RNA", at positions 46 to 339 of the family's 1533-position model. The record is from RNAcentral.
GCCUAACACAUGCAAGUCGAGCGAGGUAGCAAUACCUAGCGGCAGACGGGUGCGUAACAUGUGGGAAUCUGCCUUUUGGUUCGGAGCAACACGGGGAAACCUGUGCUAAUACCGGAUAAGUCCUUACGGAGAAAGUUUUAACGCCAAAAGAUGAGCCCGCACUUGAUUAGCUAGUUGGGGUGGUAAUGGCUUACCAAGGCAACGAUCAAUAGCUGUUCUUAGAGGAAGACCAGCCACAUUGGGACUGAGACACGGCCCAAACUCC